UGUCAUAUCAACAAGCGGAGGAAAAGAAAAUAACAAGGAUUCCCCUAGUAACGGCGAGUGAAGCGGGAAGAGCUCAAAUUUGAAAUCUGGCAGUCUUCGAUUGUCCGAGUUGUAAUCUAUAGAGGCGUUUUCCGUGCCGGACCGUGUCCAAGUCUCCUGGAAAGGAGUAUCAAAGAGGGUGAUAAUCCCGUACUUAACACGACCACCGGUGCUCUGUGAUACCUCUUCUACAAGUCGAUUGUUUGGGUU
This 249-nucleotide ribosomal RNA is filed under the name uncultured fungus. Its description in RNAcentral is "partial 26S ribosomal RNA". It matches the Rfam family "Eukaryotic large subunit ribosomal RNA", at positions 36 to 280 of the family's 3401-position model. Lineage: Eukaryota; Fungi. The record is from RNAcentral.